CCCUUAGAUGUUCUGGGCCGCACGCGCGCUACACUGAUGCAUUCAACGAGUCUAAAACCUGGUCUGAUAGGGCUGGGUAAUCUUUUGAAUGUGCAUCGUGAUUGGGAUAGAUGAUUGCAAUUCUUAAUCUUCAACGAGGAAUGCCUAGUAAGCGUGAUUCAUCAAAUCGCGUUGAUUACGUCCCUGCCCUUUGUACACACCGCCCGUCGCUCCUACCGAUUGAGUGUGUUGGUGAGGAGUUUGGAUUGGCCUCGGAAGGUGGUUCGCCACCGUCCGUAGCUGAGAAGUUCUCCAAACCGCCCCACUUAGAGGAAGGAGAAGUCGUAACA
This 329-nucleotide ribosomal RNA is filed under the name uncultured eukaryote. RNAcentral's name for it is "partial 18S ribosomal RNA". It matches the Rfam family "Eukaryotic small subunit ribosomal RNA", at positions 1470 to 1796 of the family's 1831-position model. The record is from RNAcentral.